This is a long non-coding RNA of Pyrus x bretschneideri (Chinese white pear), 622 nucleotides long. RefSeq lists it as uncharacterized. The transcript is spliced from 2 exons. The record is from RefSeq and is a predicted model, not a curated record. Lineage: Eukaryota; Viridiplantae; Streptophyta; Magnoliopsida; Rosales; Rosaceae.
AUUUCUCAUCCUCUCUCUUCGAUUUCAUAUAUGUUGUUAGAUUAAAAGGGAAAAUAUGAGAACUAACUCAAGCAAGUGUUCUUGAUGUAAGCUAAAAGAUCAAUUUAACUUUUCGUCCCUGUCAAUUUAGUGCUUUUUCUUUUCUUAUUACUUUUAGGAGUUGAUUGUUGAGAUAUAUUAUGACUAACAAAUUUACUGUUGCGUGUUGUCAUCUUUUUUGGUGAAGAUUUCUUUUUUGAAAACUGUAUGCCAUGACAAAAUAAAUUUAGAAGGAAAGUCUUUUCAUAUUAAAUCCAUGUCAGCCUGACCACUGCCACCCUGGAACCUUCGCGCUUCUUCUUCUCCAUUCUCUUGGACCAAGCAUGAAAUCCCAAGCACUAUAUCACCACAAAGCGAGCAAGCUGAAAAGCAAUCCAGCAAACCCUUUUUCCAGAAGCACUUAACAUAACCUUUCUAUGGGUUAAUUGUUGUUUCAAUUAUACCAGAUUGAAAACGAGUAUGGAACCAUUGGUCAAGCAUACGGGGCUGUUGCUUCUUUUUCUCAAGGAAACAGAGCAUUUUUUUUAUAACCACAUCUUUUGUAAUCAGCUCGGUUGAAUGUAUAAAAGCCAAGCUUAUCUUA